This is a small nucleolar RNA of Lathyrus oleraceus (garden pea), 106 nucleotides long. The record is from RefSeq and is a predicted model, not a curated record. NCBI's taxonomy places the organism in Eukaryota, Viridiplantae, Streptophyta, Magnoliopsida, Fabales, Fabaceae.
AGUCCAUGAUAGGGAUAAAGUCUCAUCUUAUCCUUGUACCUUUCCCAUGCUUCGAGAAGUGAUUCUCCAUCUUUCUGUUUAAAUCUGUUGAUUGGCUUCUUAGCAU